Molecule: unclassified non-coding RNA, 93 nt
Filed under: Flavobacterium saliperosum
Lineage: Bacteria; Pseudomonadati; Bacteroidota; Flavobacteriia; Flavobacteriales; Flavobacteriaceae
Description: Flavo-1 RNA
Source: RNAcentral
CGAUAGCUAUCGGGAGGAGCGGCAUCCUUUUUAUUUUAUGUCCUGAGGCUAUCGGGAUAUAAAAUAAAAAGAUAUAGCGUCCCGAUAGCCAUC